Molecule: ribosomal RNA, 202 nt
Filed under: uncultured bacterium
Lineage: Bacteria
Description: partial 16S ribosomal RNA
Rfam family: Bacterial small subunit ribosomal RNA
Source: RNAcentral
UACGAAGGGGGCUAGCGUUGCUCGGAAUCACUGGGCGUAAAGCGCACGUAGGCGGAUUGCUAAGUCAGGGGUGAAAUCCUGGAGCUCAAACUCCAGAACUGCCUUUGAUACUGGCGACCUUGAGUCCGGGAGAGGUGAGUGGAACUGCGAGUGUAGAGGUGAAAAUUCGUAGAUAUUCGCAAGAACACCAGUGGCGAAGGCG